GCCGGAAUACAUGUUGCUCAGUUGGGAGAGCGUAAGACUGGAGAUCUAAAGGCCCCCGGUUCAAUCCCGGGUUUCGGCA
Molecule: non-coding RNA, 79 nt
Organism: Dreissena polymorpha
Lineage: Eukaryota; Metazoa; Mollusca; Bivalvia; Myida; Dreissenidae
Source: the annotation of a RefSeq genome assembly